GAGACAUAUGGCUCUGCUAGGGUUUUUGCCUCCUUCUACCAGGUCGCUGGUUCUCUAUUCCUCUCCCUCUAUGGUCCCUAUCUCUGAUCAUCGAGCACUGUCGUUGGUUCUCUGCUCCUCACCGUGCGCCGUCGCUACUGCUCUGCUCCUCCCCAUGUCUCGAGGUCGUUGGUGGGUGAUCUCGCCGUGUCUUGCUUCCGUGUCUGCUCGAAGUCGAAGCAACAUUUCUUCUCUUGUCUGGACUCACUCUGGUUCUCUGCUUUAGUUCGGUAGUUCAAUUCAGGCCAAGCAGCACCUUGCCCUUCUAUGUUUGGGAGAGAUUGGUAGGAGGAAGGAUCUUAGUGCACAUGCCAUAUAGAAAAUAUUGUCAUUGAAUCCUUCCAAUCUCCUUUUGAAGAGAUAAAGUCUGCUGCCUCUUAUGCUCUUGGUAAUAUCGCUAUUGGCAACCUUCCAAAAAACUUGCCCGUUUAUCUUGGAUCAGAUUGAUAAUCAGCAGAAGAAACAGUAUUUCUUGCUUCAUUCUUUGAAGGAGGUGUGGCCCAAUGUAUGGUUGUUCUGUGCCUUGCUGUUGGGGAUCAGAAGUGUUCAUUGAUGCAUUCGCAUUUUAGUUAGAUUAGCUAGGUAGUUUAAGUAGUUUUAGCUUAAUUUCAUGCAUUUUAUUCAAAAUAAACAAGCAUUUGAAUGAAGUUUCUUAUUAUACACUAAUAUAUCAAGGACUAAGUGAUUUUGUAGUUGAUUCUAUGCAAAUGACAUAAGAAAGUGUUGAAUAGUUGAAUUAUAAAAAUUGGAUACAUUAUAUUUCGCUUC
This is a non-coding RNA of Arachis ipaensis, 807 nucleotides long. The record is from RefSeq and is a predicted model, not a curated record. NCBI's taxonomy places the organism in Eukaryota, Viridiplantae, Streptophyta, Magnoliopsida, Fabales, Fabaceae.